GGAGAGGUGGCAGAGUGGUCGAUGGCGUCAGUCUUGAAAACUGAAGUAGGGAAACCUACCGUGGGUUCGAAUCCCACCCUCUCCGCCA
This 88-nucleotide transfer RNA is filed under the name Verrucomicrobiota bacterium. RNAcentral describes it as "Verrucomicrobia bacterium (mine drainage metagenome) tRNA-Ser". It matches the Rfam family "tRNA". Rfam says of the family: Transfer RNA (tRNA) molecules are approximately 80 nucleotides in length. Their secondary structure includes four short double-helical elements and three loops (D, anti-codon, and T loops). The record is from RNAcentral. Lineage: Bacteria; Pseudomonadati; Verrucomicrobiota.